AACGCAACUUGCGCUCUCUGGUAUUCCGGAGAGCAUGCCUGUUUGAGUGUCAUGAAAUCUCAACCAUUAGGGUUUCUUAAUGGCUUGGAUUCGGGUGUUGCCAGUCUCUGGCUCGCCUUAAAGGAGUUAGCGAGUUUAACAAUGUCGUCUGGCGUAAUAAGUUUCGCUGGUAAGACUUGUGAAGUUUGCUUCUAAUCGUCUUCGGACAAUUACUUUGACUCUGGCCCCAAAUCAGGUAGGACUACCCGCUGAACUUAA
RNAcentral lists this unclassified non-coding RNA (258 nucleotides) under uncultured fungus. Its description in RNAcentral is "partial contains 5.8S ribosomal RNA, internal transcribed spacer 2, and large subunit ribosomal RNA". The stretch from base 1 to 52 matches the Rfam family "5.8S ribosomal RNA", at positions 103 to 154 of the family's 154-position model. The record is from RNAcentral. Lineage: Eukaryota; Fungi.